CCUACGGGAGGCAGCAGUGGGGAAUAUUGGACAAUGGGCGAAAGCCUGAUCCAGCCAUGCCGCGUGUGUGAAGAAGGCCUUCGGGUUGUAAAGCACUUUCAGUGGGGAAGAAAGCCUUGGGGCUAAUACCCUCGAGGAAGGACAUCACCCACAGAAGAAGCACCGGCUAACUCCGUGCCAGCAGCCGCGGUAAUACGGAGGGUGCGAGCGUUAAUCGGAAUUACUGGGCGUAAAGCGCGCGUAGGCGGUCUGAUAAGCCGGUUGUGAAAGCCCCGGGCUCAACCUGGGAACGGCAUCCGGAACUGUCAGGCUAGAGUGCAGGAGAGGAAGGUAGAAUUCCCGGUGUAGCGGUGAAAUGCGUAGAGAUCGGGAGGAAUACCAGUUGCGAAGGCGGCCUUCUGGACUGACACUGACGCUGAGGUGCGAAAGCGUGGGUAGCAAACAGGAUUAGAUACCCCAGUAGUC
Molecule: ribosomal RNA, 465 nt
Filed under: Vreelandella stevensii
Lineage: Bacteria; Pseudomonadati; Pseudomonadota; Gammaproteobacteria; Oceanospirillales; Halomonadaceae
Description: partial 16S ribosomal RNA
Rfam family: Bacterial small subunit ribosomal RNA
Source: RNAcentral